This 404-nucleotide ribosomal RNA is filed under the name Actinomycetes bacterium. Its description in RNAcentral is "Actinobacteria bacterium partial 16S ribosomal RNA". It matches the Rfam family "Bacterial small subunit ribosomal RNA", at positions 355 to 776 of the family's 1533-position model. Lineage: Bacteria; Bacillati; Actinomycetota; Actinomycetes. The record is from RNAcentral.
UGGGGAAUAUUGGACAAUGGGCGCAAGCCUGAUCCAGCCAUGCCGCGUGAGUGAUGAAGGCCCUAGGGUUGUAAAGCUCUUUCACCGGUGAAGAUAAUGACGGUAACCGGAGAAGAAGCCCCGGCUAACUUCGUGCCAGCAGCCGCGGUAAUACGAAGGGGGCUAGCGUUGUUCGGAUUUACUGGGCGUAAAGCGCACGUAGGCGGACUAUUAAGUCAGGGGUGAAAUCCCGGGGCUCAACCCCGGAACUGCCUUUGAUACUGGUAGUCUUAAGUUCGAGAGAGGUGAGUGGAAUUCCGGGUGUAGAGGUGAAAUUCGUAGAUAUUCGGGGGAACACCAGUGGCGAAGGCGGCUCACUGGCUCGAUACUGACGCUGAGGUGCGAAAGCGUGGGGAGCAAACAGG